GUGCUUAGUGUAGUGGUUAUCACCCUGGAUUUUGAUCAAGAACUUCCAGUGACCCCAGUUCGAGCCUGGGAGUGACCU
Molecule: transfer RNA, 78 nt
Filed under: Ramalina farinacea
Lineage: Eukaryota; Fungi; Ascomycota; Lecanoromycetes; Lecanorales; Ramalinaceae
Description: tRNA-Gln
Source: RNAcentral